GCGGGCGGCAGGGGAGCAGAGAGGAGGGGCGUGUGGGGGGGGACAGGAGGAAGGAGUAGUUACAUGAUCUCAGCCCCCAGCCCACCCAUGCGGCUGUCUGUAAAUCCGUGGCCCCUUCCUCUUGGCUCCAUCAAUGGUUCCGUCGGGCGAGGGGCAAGGUCCAGGACAUCGGCAGGUCCGGGGUGAGUGGCCUCGCCUUCUCCUCCUGUUCCGCCUCUGGGCCGUUGUCGCCCUCCUCCUCUUGCUCCGGAUCUGCCCGCGGCCGCGGACGCUGCUGUGGCGGCGGCGGCGGCGACUGCUCUUCGGCGUCCCGGUGUCUCCGGGGCGGGGGCUGCUCCGGCUCGUCCUCUGGCUGCUGCUCGCCGUCCGGCGCGGCCGCGACUCCCGGCUUCAUGAUCCUCCUCCUCCUCCUCCUCCUUCCCGGGGGGCCAGCCCUGAGCCCCCGCGCCCGGGCAGCGCUGCCAUGCAACCAGAGGCCAGGCAGGCGUAGAGGUGGGGGCGGCUGGGGAGUGAGGAGGGGGGAUGAGAAAAAAUGAAAUAAUACUAGUAGAAUAAUAAUUCAGUUCUCAAAUAAUCAGGAAAGAGUGCUUCUGGAGGGGUGGGGGCGGAGAAGGGCGGCUGCCAGGUCUUCACGGCAGCUCUGCCCCGGCUACCCCCACCAAGGGCAGCCUCGGCCGGCUGGCUGCGCCCCCACCUCCCCGCCCCUCCCUCCUCUCCGCUGCCUCUGGCUGGCUGGGCUCGCUGUUGCUACCUCUCCUCGCAGAUACAACGAGCUGCCAUGUUGUGAGCUGCACUAUGGAGAGGCCCAUGUGGUGAGGAACUGAGGACAGCUCCAGCCAACAGCCAGUGAGGAACCAAGGCCAACAGCUCACAAGGGACUGAAUCUUGCCAACAACCAUGUGAGUGAGCUUGGAAACAAUCCUUCCCCAGUGAAGCCUUGAGAUGACUGCAGCCCUGGCUGACAUCUUGAUUGCAGCCUCUGAAAGAACCUGAACCAGAGGACCCCACUAAGCUGUGCCUGAAUUUCUCACCUACAGAAGCUGUGAGAUAAAUCUAGUUAUCUUAAGCCCUCUGUACACUGUCACAGCCCUCACCCCCAGCACACGUACACAGAGACAUCUACUUCUCACCCGGAGUCUAUUUCCUGCACAUAAGCAUUUCAAGUAGAUAUCGGUAUGCAAAGCUUGGAAGAGACAAAGUUUUGGGAACCUCUCAUUGGACCUGAGGACUUGGUGGAGACUAAGAACUCACGAGAAGGAAAUGCUUCAGACAGGGAGGGAGAUGCGAGCAUCAUUUCCUUCCGUUUCCUCUUCUAGAAUUUAAGCUCCAUGGAGGAGGGAGUUGUUUUUCUGGUCCAUUUUGAUCCCAUGUGCCUGCGUCAGUGAUGGCAUGUAGUAGUGCUCAAUACAUGUUUGUUGAGUAAAGUAUGAGCAACAUUACAACGCCCUCUUAACCAGUAUCCCAGCCUCCUCCUUACCCAAGCCUUUCACUGAGCCACUAAUAAGGGGUCAUUUGAAAUGGAUUUUAAUUUUCUCUCCUAUUUCUGCUCCUGACUCAUGUCAUUCUACCCCCCCCUUCUUAAGGAGUUUCCAUUGAGCAGAAAAGUAUCCCCAAAUGUGAGAAGCACAUUAAGUUUUGGGGUAAUUUGUUACACAGGAAUUGGUAACAUACACUAAGGCACUGAGAAUAUCAGUCACUGUGCCCAGGCUUCCUGUGCCCCAAGGUACUCUACUGUGACCCCAGACAGAGAGCUUGAUCCUCCACAAGACAAUGCAAGUGUAAACGUGAGAGCUCACCAGGAAAGAGUAUUUUGGCAUGCUUAAUUGGUGGGCUGAACUUAAGACCGAGGAGAGUCCCUCUCAAGCCUGAGUUUGCCUUAAAGAUCGCCUUGUGUUAUUGUUGAAAGUGCAGGUGCCCAGGUGGACUCUCACCUCCAGAGAUUCUGACUUAGUGUAUCUAGCACAUGACUUGAGACAUGCGUUUUUACUAGUUCCCUGGGCAAAUCUGAAACAGGCGGCACUUGAGCUCCACCGUGGAGAGCACUGGCUUAGAAGACCAAGCUCAGAGCCAGAACUUCACCCUCUGGUUUCAGGUGCCACAUGAGUAGGGCUGGCCACUCCCUUGCUACGAGUUGAUAUUCUUCUCCAGAUAUGAGUGAGUAAAGAGCAAGUUCCAAAUCAAUAUCAAAAAGAGGCAACAGAGUGAUGUGGAAAACGUGCUGAGAGAGGUUUGUGCAUUCACCACUGGAGUCUGGACCACUCCUGGGGAUAGGGAGUAAGACGGAUGAAGGCUUUGCUCUCACAAUUCACAUCCUGGUGUGGAAAACAGAGGAGGAAACUGAGGCCCAGAGAGGGGAGAUGAUUAUCAAGGUCAUACAUUAACCAAGUGGCAGAGCCAGGACCAGAAGCCACGUCUCUUGACCAUUCAACCCAUGUUCAUCCUCCGUCACCUGGCUUUGGGUCCCAUUUUUGAAAUGGUCCAUGCAGAGACUGGGAACUUGGCCUGGCUUUCUUGAGGUGCUAGACAUCACUCUCUCAGCAUCCAAGUCAUAUUAGUGGUACCCAUGAGAACACAAGCUUUAAAAUCUUCUUUCUGGACAAACACCAGAUGAUUUCACUCAUACGUGGAAUAUGAACAAACCCACGGACAAAGAAAAGAGUUCAAUGGUUACCAG
RNAcentral lists this long non-coding RNA (2674 nucleotides) under Equus asinus (donkey). RNAcentral's name for it is "lncRNA (ENSEASG00005031698.1)". Lineage: Eukaryota; Metazoa; Chordata; Mammalia; Perissodactyla; Equidae. The record is from RNAcentral.